UACAGAGGGUGCGAGCGUUGUCCGGAAUCACUGGGCGUAAAGGGCGCGUAGGUGGUGGCUUAAGCGUGCGGUGAAAGCUCGGAGCUCAACUCCGAGUCGGCCGUGCGAACUGGGCUCACUGGAGCAUAGUAGAGGCAGGUGGAAUUCCGGGUGUAGCGGUGGAAUGCGUAGAGAUCCGGAAGAACACCGGUGGCGAAGGCG
Molecule: ribosomal RNA, 201 nt
Filed under: uncultured bacterium
Lineage: Bacteria
Description: partial 16S ribosomal RNA
Rfam family: Bacterial small subunit ribosomal RNA
Source: RNAcentral